AAAUUGAAGAGUUUGAUCAUGGCUCAGAUUGAACGCUGGCGGCAGGCCUAACACAUGCAAGUCGAGCGGUAGCACAGAGAGCUUGCUCUCGGGUGACGAGCGGCGGACGGGUGAGUAAUGUCUGGGAAACUGCCUGAUGGAGGGGGAUAACUACUGGAAACGGUAGCUAAUACCGCAUAAUGUCGCAAGACCAAAGUGGGGGACCUUCGGGCCUCAUGCCAUCAGAUGUGCCCAGAUGGGAUUAGCUAGUAGGUGGGGUAACGGCUCACCUAGGCGACGAUCCCUAGCUGGUCUGAGAGGAUGACCAGCCACACUGGAACUGAGACACGGUCCAGACUCCUACGGGAGGCAGCAGUGGGGAAUAUUGCACAAUGGGCGCAAGCCUGAUGCAGCCAUGCCGCGUGUGUGAAGAAGGCCUUCGGGUUGUAAAGCACUUUCAGCGGGGAGGAAGGCGGUGAGGUUAAUAACCUCAUCGAUUGACGUUACCCGCAGAAGAAGCACCGGCUAACUCCGUGCCAGCAGCCGCGGUAAU
This 532-nucleotide ribosomal RNA is filed under the name Klebsiella pneumoniae. RNAcentral's name for it is "bacterial SSU rRNA". It matches the Rfam family "Bacterial small subunit ribosomal RNA", at positions 1 to 524 of the family's 1533-position model. The record is from RNAcentral. Lineage: Bacteria; Pseudomonadati; Pseudomonadota; Gammaproteobacteria; Enterobacterales; Enterobacteriaceae.